AUGAAAGUAGCAGGGAGAGACUGCUUGUAAGGCAGCGCCGAAGGAGCAAGCCGGGUAUGGUGAAUCUCUCAGGCAAAAGUACCUCUACUGGACG
RNAcentral lists this non-coding RNA (94 nucleotides) under Brevibacillus borstelensis. Its description in RNAcentral is "Glycine sequence". It matches the Rfam family "Glycine riboswitch aptamer". From Rfam's summary of the family: This family represents the bacterial glycine riboswitch. Glycine riboswitches usually consist of two metabolite-binding aptamers domains with similar structures in tandem. Lineage: Bacteria; Bacillati; Bacillota; Bacilli; Caryophanales; Paenibacillaceae. The record is from RNAcentral. RNAcentral also lists the same sequence under 1 other name.